AUUGAACGCUGGCGGCAUGCUUUACACAUGCAAGUCGAGCGGCAGCGCGGCCUUCGGGCUGGCGGCGAGCGGCGAACGGGUGAGUAAUGCAUCGGAACAUGCCCAGUCGUGGGGGAUAACACUUCGAAAGAAGUGCUAAUACCGCAUACGUCCUGAGGGGGAAAGCGGGGGAUCGCAAGACCUCGCGCGAUUGGAGUGGCCGAUGUCAGAUUAGCUAGUUGGUGGGGUAAAGGCCUACCAAGGCGACGAUCUGUAGCUGGUCUGAGAGGAUGAUCAGCCAAACUGGGACUGAGACACGGCCCAGACUCCUACGGGAGGCAGCAGUGGGGAAUUUUGGACAAUGGGGGCAACCAUGAUCCAGCCAUGCCGCGUGAGUGAAGAAGGCCUUCGGGUUGUAAAGCUCUUUCGGCAGGAACGAAACGGUGGGCUCUAACAUAGUCCGCUAAUGACGGUACCUGAAGAAGAAGCACCGGCUAACUAC
This 481-nucleotide ribosomal RNA is filed under the name uncultured bacterium. Its description in RNAcentral is "partial 16S ribosomal RNA". It matches the Rfam family "Bacterial small subunit ribosomal RNA", at positions 29 to 504 of the family's 1533-position model. The record is from RNAcentral.